Molecule: signal recognition particle RNA, 245 nt
Filed under: Desulfobacteraceae bacterium
Lineage: Bacteria; Pseudomonadati; Thermodesulfobacteriota; Desulfobacteria; Desulfobacterales; Desulfobacteraceae
Description: signal recognition particle sRNA large type
Rfam family: Bacterial large signal recognition particle RNA
About the family: The signal recognition particle (SRP) is a universally conserved ribonucleoprotein involved in the co-translational targeting of proteins to membranes. Archaeal SRP consists of a 7S RNA and homologues of the eukaryotic SRP19 and SRP54 proteins.
Source: RNAcentral
UUGUGCUAGGUGGGGAGUUAGCGGUGCCCUUUUCCCGAAAUCCGCUUAUGCGGGGCUGAAUUCCCUUCUUAGGGUUUUAUGUUAAAAUAAAUUAAUCAUCGUGGCGGGACACCAUGAACAGACAUUCGCGAACUUCGUCAGGUCCGGAAGGAAGCAGCGAUAAGUGAAUUUAGUCUGUGUCAUGGUCUGUAUUCGGUCAUUAUAUGGUUGACGCGUUUUAAAAAAAUUCAAUGGAGGGUGCACAA